This is a non-coding RNA of Callithrix jacchus (white-tufted-ear marmoset), 2123 nucleotides long. The record is from RefSeq and is a predicted model, not a curated record. Lineage: Eukaryota; Metazoa; Chordata; Mammalia; Primates; Cebidae.
GGAAAUGGAGACAUAUAGGUGAUUUUAUGGGGGCAGAAAACAAUUUUUAGGGGAACUCACUGGGUGUGAAGAACAUACAAUGUCCUGGGACAGUCUGUUGGGGUCUGCAGAGUGGACAAUGGUCUGUGACAGAGUCUGUCCAGGAGUGUUGACAGAUUUCAGUCUUCCUUCCUGUGAUAGAUGAGUUAAUGGAAACUCAGGGAAGAAACAAAGAGUUUUUGUUCCAUGGGAGAUACCCAUGCCACUUGAAAAAACAAACUAUCCUGACAUCUACUGACUUUGUGAAUGAUUUUAACAGCAAUAACAAUGGAGAUGGAAGAAGUUUUGAAGCAGUACUAGUUCCACAGCUUUCGUGUAAGAUGCCAUGGUUUUGGCAUCCUCAGAUUGGCAAUGAUAUUGAAUAACUUCUAAGGUCUUUCUGAAAUUGUGUGAUUCUUUUCUAAAAUAGGAGUAUCUUCAAAAGAUGGAUGGACAUUGAGUGCUACUGCAUGACAACAUUCUUGUAUAAUAAGAUAUAAUAAGAUCCUUUCCCUAGAAAAUGGGGCAAAUUCAGAUGGAAUGAGAGAAAGAUUUCAAGGUUUCAGUGGAAUAUGCUUAUAUUGGGAACUGUAUUAGUUAAGACUAGCUUUGGUUGCAUGUGACAGAAAACCCAACGUCGUCACUUAUACAGGAUUAAAAUGUGUCCUCAUGAAAGUCUAGAGAUGGUAUGUAGCUCUGAGUGUCAGGGAUCAAGACUCCUUCUAACUGGGAACCCAGCUUUCCAUUCCAAAGAUUGCUUCAUAUUCAAAAUGGCUGCUGGGGCUCCAGGCAUAGGGUCCACCUUCCAUCUAGAAGAACAAGAAACCCAAAAGGAGCAUGUUCUCCCCUUUAAUGAUGCUUUCAUAAGUUAAAUAGGAUGUUUCAUACGCAUCUCACUGGCCAGACUGGUUAGAACUUAGUAAUUGGCCACAAUCAGCUGGAAAGAAGGCUGGGAAAUAGAAUAUUUAAGGUGGUUGUUGUAAUCAGCUAAAAAAUCAUGAGUUACAUAAUAUAUAGAAGAGGAGAACAAGGACAGAAUGACAACUAGCAGUAUCUGCAUAUCAUUCUUCCAAGCAAGUACAUAGGAAUUUUUAAAUAAAUCUUUACUCCAAGAUUCACUUAGCUUUGGUAGAAUGAAGAAUCAGCAUCUACUUACCUGGUCAAUACAAAGGAGUUGGCAUUCUUUUGACGAAAUGUUGAGUCAAGCUGCAUAGGUACAAUCAAUAGACACACCUGCAUCUUCAAACACCUGCUGAUCACAGAAAUGUGCAGAGAAAGGCACAGAUUAACCUGAUUAGUUAACCAAAAUGGUUGGACCUCUGUUUUUGUAGAGGCAUAAAUUAUAUUUUUUGAGAAAUCAGAUCUUUAACAACCCGGUAAUAAAAUCUGAAUUCAUCUUCCUAAUAGAAAAUUAAAACAUGGAUUUAUUGGCCAGGUUCAGUGGCCCAUACCUGAAAUCCCAGCACUUUGGGAGGCUGAGGUAGGCAGAUCGUGAGAUCAGGAGAUCAAGACUAUCCUGGCCAACAAGGUGAAACCCUGUCUCUACUAAAAUUACACAAAAUUAGCUGGGCAUCGUGGUGCAUGCCUGUAAUUCCAGCUACUCGGGAGCCUGAGGAAGGAGAAUAGCUUGAACCAGGGAGUGGGAGGUUGCAGUGAGUUGAGAUUGUGCCACUGCACUCCAGCCUGGUGACAGAGUAAGACUCCAUCUCAAAAUAAUAAUAAUAACAUGGAUUUAUCUAGUGAUAAUAAUAUCUCAACUAUUCAUAAAGAAUGAGGUGAUCCACAGGAAAAUCCUAUGAAUAUGCAUAGCACUAACCAAAAAUAAGGCAUUUGUAUUGUUUUCGGUGAUAAUGUUAGAGCAGUAUGAAAUAUCCAGAACAGGUAAGCCCAAACAAACAUGGAGGGGAGAGGAGAGUAGCCAUGACUGGCUAAUGGAGAGUGGAGUUCCUUUGGGAGUGAUGGGUAUGUUUUGGAACUAGAUACAGGUGAUAAUUGUGCAGCAGCGUGAAUGUAUUGAAUGCCACUGAAUUGUACACUUUAACAUCAUUAAUUCUGUGUUAUGUGAAUUUUAUUACAAUUAAAAAUAUGAGUUAGGGCAGCAUGUA